UACAGAGGUCCCAAGCGUUGUUCGGAUUCACUGGGCGUAAAGGGUGCGUAGGCGGUCGGGUAAGUCUGAUGUGAAAUCUCACAGCUUAACUGUGAAACUGCAUUGGAUACUAUCCGGCUCGAGGAAUGGAGGGGAGACUGGAAUACUUGGUGUAGCAGUGAAAUGCGUAGAUAUCAAGUGGAACACCAGUGACGAAGGCGAGUCUCUGGACAUUUCCUGACGCUGAGGCACGAAAGCCAGGGGAGCAAACGGG
RNAcentral lists this ribosomal RNA (253 nucleotides) under uncultured bacterium. RNAcentral's name for it is "partial 16S ribosomal RNA". It matches the Rfam family "Bacterial small subunit ribosomal RNA", at positions 524 to 776 of the family's 1533-position model. The record is from RNAcentral.